RNAcentral lists this ribosomal RNA (467 nucleotides) under uncultured bacterium. Its description in RNAcentral is "partial 16S ribosomal RNA". It matches the Rfam family "Bacterial small subunit ribosomal RNA", at positions 28 to 507 of the family's 1533-position model. The record is from RNAcentral.
GACGAACGCUGGCGGCGUGCUUAACACAUGCGAGUCGAACGGAAAGGCCCUGCUUUUGUGGGGUGCUCGAGUGGCGAACGGGUGAGUAACACGUGAGUAACCUGCCCUUGACUUUGGGAUAACUUCAGGAAACUGGGGCUAAUACCGGAUAGGAGCUCCUGCUGCAUGGUGGGGGUUGGAAAGUUUCGGCGGUUGGGGAUGGACUCGCGGCUUAUCAGCUUGUUGGUGGGGUAGUGGCUUACCAAGGCUUUGACGGGUAGCCGGCCUGAGAGGGUGACCGGCCACAUUGGACCUGGGUUCCGGCCCAGACUCUUACGGGGGGCAGCGGUGGGAAUAUUGCACAAUGGGCGGAAGCCUGAUGCAGCAACGCCGCGUGCGGGAUGACGGCCUUCGGGUUGUAAACCGCUUUCGCCUGUGACGAAGCGUGAGUGACGGUAAUGGGUAAAGAAGCACCGGCUAACUACGUG